Molecule: unclassified non-coding RNA, 327 nt
Filed under: Hevea brasiliensis (rubber tree)
Lineage: Eukaryota; Viridiplantae; Streptophyta; Magnoliopsida; Malpighiales; Euphorbiaceae
Source: RNAcentral
AUUACAGGUGCAUUUUGGAAACAAGUUCUUUUGGUUGGUAGAACGUGUAAUGAUACGUAACCUAUGUUUUUCUGAAAAUAGUGGGGUAGUGACAACGCAACAUUCAUAAACCUCGGGGUGGGGUGGGGGUGUCCGAAACUUCCGUGUAGUUUUGCUGAUAAGUCGGGGCUGAAUGCUUGUUGUGUUGUAUGCCUCUGCCUACAUGCUAUGCUGAUCCAAAUUUUGGGAAGUAGGAUCGGUCUUAAGCUUAUUGAUUUCAUCUUAUGUUUAGGCAACUUAUAAUUUCCAUAGUAUUUGUCAUCAAUAACAGUGGAAUAUCAAUCAAGU